ACGGAGGGUCCGAGCGUUAUCCGGAAUCAUUGGGUUUAAAGGGUCCGUAGGCGGACAGCUCAGUCAGUGGUGAAAGUUUGCAGCUCAACUGUAAAAUUGCCAUUGAUACUGGUUGUCUUGAAUUAAUGUGAAGUGGUUAGAAUAAGUAGUGUAGCGGUGAAAUGCAUAGAUAUUACUUAGAAUACCAAUUGCGAAGGCAGAUCACUAACAUUAUAUUGACGCUGAUGGACGAAAGCGUGGGGAGCGAACAGG
RNAcentral lists this ribosomal RNA (252 nucleotides) under uncultured bacterium. RNAcentral's name for it is "partial 16S ribosomal RNA". It matches the Rfam family "Bacterial small subunit ribosomal RNA", at positions 525 to 776 of the family's 1533-position model. The record is from RNAcentral.